This is a long non-coding RNA of Neodiprion fabricii, 2049 nucleotides long. RefSeq lists it as uncharacterized. The transcript has 3 exons. Lineage: Eukaryota; Metazoa; Arthropoda; Insecta; Hymenoptera; Diprionidae. The record is from RefSeq and is a predicted model, not a curated record.
UCUCUUUAGAUCUGACAGUUCCGUCGUCGCGUAUGCGUGUGGGGAAAUCGUUUGUGUCAUUUCUGUCCGUGUUUCUAACGCACCUUGCGCACACAUUUGAUGCCUGUACAACUCUACUCGAAAGUCUAUUUAUGUAAAAUAUCCUAGACGUAAGAUGUACAUGUGUCGUAUCACUUGCAAAUGUUACGUAAAAAUGUCACGAUUCAUCCAGACAACGAAACGCGACGCGACGGUGUAAAAAGCCGAGAUAAAUUUAUACCAAACGGAUGUGUGUAACGUUAUUUUCUUACCCAAUUGCGUGAAGCAAAUUAUCGGCUGUGAGAGGUUUACGUUCAUGCGAUUGAUCGUCGAUCGUGCAGCCGAAUGUAAAUUAGUGGGUGCAGCUACGCCUUUUCACGGUUAAAGUCGUGAUACGUGAUACCGUCGUUUCAACGUUUUAUUCACCUUUAAAAUCGGUACAUAAAUUCUUUACUCAGCGGAUUAACUUGUAUCAUAAACUCUAUGAAACAUGUACGUAUCGUUAUUUUUUUUUUUUUUUAUCUUGAACCACGACUCGAUGAAAUCGCGUUCAAGCACAGAAACCCACGAAUAUUAGACAUUGUUGUUUGAUGUGUAACUUUCCUUGCGGGUUACGCAAUUCUGAUAACAGAACCAUCGAUUAUUCUGUUCUGUUAUUUAAUCUAAAGAAAUUUCGCUGAUUUCGUGGUAAUAUCUGGCAAAGCCGAAUUAAUCGAAAUAAUAAGGAAAAUUUUAAAUGUGGGGUAUAUAAAGCAAACGGACCUGAAUCUCGGUAACAAAAGCGAAAUUUUUGUUGCAUUACAAACCCACACCCAUAACCUACAUUACAACUGGCACGCCUCCUCCACGUGGUUUAAAUAUGGGCCAGCCUGCAAGUUUGACGCGAAACCAUAACGCGCACAAUUCAACGCUGAGAUGCAAAACGACGCGGCUAGGGAAACACUGACAUACGACGCUGCGCGAAUUCGGCGUAUACUGGUGAAGAUUGCCGAGAUGCCAGGCGCGCGAAUCUGGACCGAAAGGGACGAUACUAUUCCUCCGAGUGGUAACCGAGUCCCGAGGGAACCGUGGGAGAGCCGCGAAGUUCCGCGGACAAAGCUGAAAGCUCUUCGAGCUUUCGGGCGGUAAGCAAGGUGCGCCCCGGAAUUCCAACUCCACUCCAAGAUCGCCGGCAUUCGAUUGAUCAGCGAAUCGGGAAACUGACUUCGCGGUCGAAAAGCUUCGCUACGAUGCCAACAAUUUCAGGAUUUGUAUUUGCGGAAUAUUCAGCGAGAAGAGUGUCGUUUAAAUAUUCAAAAACACCGAAACACUGAGCUUGAUCGAGUUUUAAUCGAACUUCUAAACAUACGGUUUAAACUUUUUUUUUCUCUCAUUGAUGCUAUAUUAUUCCUUUUAACACAGGUGAAAAUCGUGACUCUGUUGAUGAAAGUUCAUUCUUAUUUGUUACAUGGUGAAAAUAUAAGUGAAAAAUUUUGUCCCACAUGUUAGAAAUGCGACAUUCGCUUCGCGUAUUCUGUGCACGACUGCACGGUUAUCUAGCCUGUAUGACAAAAGUUGGAAAAAGUGGGAAAUGCGGUCGCUGCGAGUCGCGCAGAAGCUGAAUUUUCAUUUAUACGACGAUGAAGAAUCGCGUGGUGUGAUGGCAACCAAUAACGACGGCGGCGGUUCAUUCAAACGCGGUCAAAAAAAAAAAGUUCGAGGGAGUGUUCGUGAAGGAUUGUACCAGAUCACGGCUCUCGGAAUUAACACGUUGUGAGAAAUUGAUGGUUUUUCGAAUGGCGAGAGUUAAUUCUACCGGGAUACUGGACGAGCGACAAAUGCGUCGUUUUGAUUGAAAUUUCUGCACUUCACCGUAUACGAAUGUGAAACAAAGUGCGAGUUUAUUCAAACCCAGAGUAUAAUUGCCAGUCGUGAUUCGUGGAAUUCGACUCUAGCGCCUUUUUCUAUUCAAGUAUUAUACAUAUAAAGCAAACGAGAAUGACCAAAUGGCGACAUUGUUGUAUUUUUAUCAAUAAAAACGUCGAUGUUCAA